GAUGAACGCUGGCGGCGUGCCUAAUACAUGCCAGUCGAGCGAACAGAUGAGGAGCUUGCUCCUCUGACGUUAGCGGCGGACGGGUGAGUAACACGUGGAUAACCUACCUAUAAGACUGGGAUAACUUCGGGAAACCGGAGCUAAUACCGGAUAAUAUAUUGAACCGCAUGGUUCAAUAGUGAAAGACGGCUUUGCUGUCACUUAUAGAUGGAUCCGCGCCGCAUUAGCUAGUUGUUAAGGUAACGGCGUACCAAGGCAACGAUGCGUAGCCGACCUGAGAGGGUGAUCGGCCACACUGGAACUGAGACACGGUCCAGACUCCUACGGGAGGCAGCAGUAGGGAAUCUUCCGCAAUGGGCGAAAGCCUGACGGAGCAACGCCGCGUGAGUGAUGAAGGUCUUCGGAUCGUAAAACUCUGUUAUUAGGGAAGAACAAAUGUGUAAGUAACUAUGCACGUCUUGACGGUACCUAAUCAGAAAGCCACGGCUAACUACGUG
Molecule: ribosomal RNA, 497 nt
Filed under: uncultured bacterium
Lineage: Bacteria
Description: partial 16S ribosomal RNA
Rfam family: Bacterial small subunit ribosomal RNA
Source: RNAcentral